GCGGGCGUGGUGAAAUUGGCAGACACGCUAGACUUAGGAUCUAGUGCUUCGCGCGUGCAGGUUCAAGUCCUGUCGCCCGCA
Eubacterium sp. 3_1_31 is the source of this 81-nucleotide non-coding RNA. The record is from Rfam. Lineage: Bacteria; Bacillati; Bacillota; Clostridia; Eubacteriales; Eubacteriaceae.